UCUCUCUCUCUGUAGCUCUUUUACUCUCUGUCUGGCUCUCUUUCUUCUUCCUCUUCUUCUAUGUAGACGCAACUUGGGCUCUGCAUCGUCAACAAGAGAACGCGAAGCUUCGGAGUAUCUAUUUUUCUCUUUCCCCAUCAUCACCCGAUCAUCCACCGUCACCCAGACAGGACGAACGACCGUCUACGGACGACCAGAAGAGACCAACGGACGACCAAAGGCGCACAAACGGUGCAGCAAGUGCAACCACGUACCGCCAUCAUCAUCAGGACUGAGAGAGACUGAGUCAGUCUCCUCCACUCUCAGUCAGUGCUCUGUUGAUCGCGGUGAUGAGAAGUCGUGCUCCGCUCUCGCCUCGCACUCACUCACGUCUGCCGUAGGUGGCGAGCGAGAUAGGUCGUAUAUUGGUUGCUUGGACAGACGCUAGGCCUAAGGAAAAAGUGAUGAUAUUGUAAUAAAGAAAAAAGGUGACACGAAAAGAGGAAAUGGGAGAAAGAGUGAUAAAAGCGGCAGAUGAAACAGUAGAACAGAAAGGAAGAUGAGAGGAAGCGAUGAUCUCAGUCAUAAACAGGAGGAAAUAGUUGCUAAUCGCGUGGUAACUGUUGGGUAUAAGUAAUGCACAACGGAUGUGGAAUAAGUGAGGUAAUUGAAGAUUAAAAGUAAAUAAAUUGGAGUUUUCGGAGAUUGAGAAGUGUGUGAAUAAAGGCGUUUUAUACUUACAAAAUUCAGAAGGAAAAGUGGAUUCGAAAAGUGUGUAUACAAAAUUAAGUGCAGCGUCUAGAAAGGUAAAAUAAACGGAGUAGAAGAAAGUAGCUUCGGAAAAUUGAAAAGUGCAAAAGUGUUUUAAUAUAAGUAGAAAGUCGAAGAAAGCUCGAGAGAGAGAGAGAGAGAGAAAGAGAGUAAACACGAACGACGAGAUUUCACAGAAGAGAAUUAUGGCAUGAAAAAGAGAGCAAACAUCCGUCUAGAGUUUAGAACAAAAAAAUAAUAAAUAAGUGAAAACCGUUAUAGAUGUUGAGUGCGGAUAUCAGUUGAGCAAACAGUUUGCGGAAGGAGGAGGAGGAGAGGAAAAUAAGAAGAAGAAGAAGGAAGGAAGGAAUAAGAAAGAUCCAGGCAGCUGACAUUCCUACGGCCCUCCCUCACACACCAGAAGUAGUCCUUCUGGAUAAUCCUUCGUUGGACUACGGUAGACGACGAACGGUUCUAGAUUGGCUUGUCCGCGCCAGAAGCAGAUUCGAAGAGGAACCUGGUUUCUAAUUCGAGAAAACGUUAAGGAAAAAGUUUACGCAGUCGUUUUAUGAAAACGUUUUCUCAUCCGAGAAAACGUUUACGAAUACUUUUCUGAAAACGUUUGCAAGGCGAGAAAGCGUCUAGGAAAACGUUUACAGUUCCUACGAAACGUUUUCCAAUUUGAGAAAACGUCUACAGCUCGAGAAAACGUUUAACGAAAACGUCUCCGAAAAGGUUUACAAUCCGAGAGAACUUUACGGAAACGUUUACUAGAAAUAGAGAGUUGCUGACAGGAGGCAUUAAUUCUCUAGUUCGAGAAAACGUUUGCGAAAAAAUUUACAAGAAAUCGAGAGAAAAUGAAGCACAGACACCACGAGACAACGUUACUGGACCAAGAGAUGAUCUGGGCAUGCUAGAAAACGUCUGUGUGUAGAAGCGAAAAUGUUUCGGAGGUUUUAGAAAAUGUCUUUAGAAAAACGUUCUUUCACAAAAGGGGUUUUACAGCUUACGAAAAAGUCGAAGUGAAAGUAUCCAUAAAAAGGACUAUUUGAUCUUUGAGAACAUUUUCCCAAAUCUCGAAAUAAAAAUGUACUGGAGAUGACACGAGAAAACGCCGAGUGAAUUUCAAGAAUAAAAACGUUUAAAAAACAGUGAGUUGAAUUAGAAAUAAUAAUUGACGAUUUAAAUUAAAAUUGAAAUAAUAUUUGGAAUAAAAAAAUUUAACAUUUAAAUCAAGGUGCUAAUAAUCUCUCUCUCUCUCUCUCUCUCUCUCUCUCUCUCUCUCUCU
Molecule: long non-coding RNA, 2017 nt
Organism: Macrobrachium nipponense
Lineage: Eukaryota; Metazoa; Arthropoda; Malacostraca; Decapoda; Palaemonidae
Exons: 3
Source: RefSeq, a predicted model, not a curated record